GACGAACGCUGGCGGCGCGCUUAACACAUGCAAGUCGAACGGAAAGGCCUGCUUUCCCUUGUGGAUUGCGGGUACUCGAGUGGCGAACGGGUGAGUAACACGUGAGUGAUCUGCCCCCAACUUGGGUAUAAGCCUGGGAAACUGGGUCUAAUUCCCGAUAGGACUGCAGGGUGGUGCCUGUGGUGGAAAACGAUUUUCUAGUGGUUGGGGAUGAGCUCGCGGCCUAUCAGCUUGUUGGUGGGGUAAUGGCCUACCAAGGCGGGGACGGGUAGCCGGCCUGAGAGGGUGGAAGGCGACAUUGGGACUGAGAAAAGGCCCAGACUCGUACGGGAGGCAGCAGAGGGGAAGAAAGGAGAAAGGGCGGAAGGCAGAAGCAGCGACGGAGCGUGGGGGAUGACGGCAUUCGGGUUGUAAACUCCUAUCGAACGAGAGGAAGCCAACUGGUUGGAAGGGUGGUGACGGUAGUGGUAGAAGAAGCACCGGCUAACUACGUG
Molecule: ribosomal RNA, 494 nt
Filed under: uncultured bacterium
Lineage: Bacteria
Description: partial 16S ribosomal RNA
Rfam family: Bacterial small subunit ribosomal RNA
Source: RNAcentral